CAGGCCUAACACAUGCAAGUCGAACGGUAACAGGAAGUGCUUGCACUUCGCUGACGAGUGGCGGACGGGUGAGUAAUGCUUGGGAACUUGCCUUUGCGAGGGGGAUAACAGUUGGAAACGACUGCUAAUACCGCAUAAUGUCUUCGGACCAAACGGGGCUUAGGCUCCGGCGCAAAGAGAGGCCCAAGUGAGAUUAGCUAGUUGGUAAGGUAAAGGCUUACCAAGGCAACGAUCUCUAGCUGUUCUGAGAGGAAGAUCAGCCACACUGGGACUGAGACACGGCCCAGACUCCUACGGGAGGCAGCAGUGGGGAAUCUUAGACAAUGGGCGCAAGCCUGAUCUAGCGAUGCCGCGUGAGUGAUGAAGGCCUUAGGGUCGUAAAGCUCUUUCGCCUGUGAAGAUAAUGACGGUAGCAGGUAAAGAAACCCCGGCUAACUCCGUGCCAGCAGCCGCGGUAAUACGGAGGGUG
This 469-nucleotide ribosomal RNA is filed under the name Percolomonas cosmopolitus. RNAcentral's name for it is "partial Bacterial small subunit ribosomal RNA". It matches the Rfam family "Bacterial small subunit ribosomal RNA", at positions 43 to 534 of the family's 1533-position model. The record is from RNAcentral. Lineage: Eukaryota; Heterolobosea; Eutetramitea; Percolomonadida; Percolomonadidae.